Molecule: ribosomal RNA, 250 nt
Filed under: uncultured bacterium
Lineage: Bacteria
Description: partial 16S ribosomal RNA
Rfam family: Bacterial small subunit ribosomal RNA
Source: RNAcentral
UACGAAGGGGCUAGCGUUGCUCGGAAUCACUGGGCGUAAAGCGCACGUAGGCGGCUUCUUAAGUCAGGGGUGAAAUCCUGGAGCUCAACUCCAGAACUGCCUUUGAUACUGAGGAUCUUGAGUUCGGGAGAGGUGAGUGGAACUGCGAGUGUAGAGGUGAAAUUCGUAGAUUAUUCGCAAGAACACCAGUGGCGAAGGCGGCUCACUGGCCGAUACUGACGCUGAGGCGCGAAAGCGUGGGGAGCAAACA